GCUCCCUUAAACAAGGAAAUGCGACCAUUCGGUAAAACUGUCAUUUUUUUCCUAGACAAAGGAAACAGAAACUUUCCAAAGCGUAAAAUAAAUUUUAAACACCCCUCGCAUAAAUGUGCGCAAGAGGUUUUAGAGCCAGCAAACGUUAUCGUUUGAUGCUACACUAAGCAAGGCCGACCGUGCACUACUCAAGCGCCAAAGAAACGCAAUAGAAUGCCGGCCGUCUGCUUCGGUCGAAAGCAGACUGGGCAUGGAGGAAAUGAGGUGGGAGUCGCACAUUGCGCUGAUGUAGGCACCGCGGCACUUGAAGUCCGAGCCCCAGAGUGCCAGUUUAUCCUUUGUUUAGAAUACAACGCAUCACAGUGUGAUGUUUAUUCGUGCGCCCUUAUUUAUUCUUUUCUCUCAUUUAAGCCGUGCAGACCAAGCCGUAGCAAUGUCAUUGCAUGGCGAGGUGGUCAGCGCGUCUGUGCUCGGCUGCCCUGGCGUGGUCAGCCUGGAGUCUGGCUGUGUGGAACCAGUACAAAUCAAGCUCACAACAUUCGCCCCUAGCGCAAGCCCCGAGGAUCGGAGGCAGACGUCAUCUCCAUGCAUUUGUGCGCCCUCUACUGUGAUACAGACACGAAGGUCUUCACGCUCACAGGACAUAUACUGCACUGGUGGGGAGUCGCCGAUCACUGCCACGUGAAUGACGAGAGAGCAGGAGGGUUUAUGCCCAGUCCAAGUAAACAGAACGCCGAGUGGAUGUCCGUGAUGAGGACUUCAGUGACGUUUCGGCAGUCCUGCUUAUUCCCCUUUUUUCCCACAAGAUGGCGACGUCUCUUCCCAAAGGUUGCGUUAAGAGGACGCAAUCAAAUCACGUGGACUUGCGCACCGAGGUUUCGUUAGCUGGAGCAACAAAUUUUUUUAUUACGGUGCAUAAAUUAUGCCUCCCUACGUGGGCGUUUUCAAGAGCCAUUCCUAGGAUUUACUCCGGCAAUUUUCAACAAAGAAGUGCUUUUAUUAAAGACACGACAAUGCGCCUGUGAGCGCAGACAUAAAUAGCACAAAUAAAUGACAC
Dermacentor silvarum is the source of this 1057-nucleotide long non-coding RNA. RefSeq lists it as uncharacterized. The transcript is spliced from 3 exons. The record is from RefSeq and is a predicted model, not a curated record. Lineage: Eukaryota; Metazoa; Arthropoda; Arachnida; Ixodida; Ixodidae.